Molecule: ribosomal RNA, 497 nt
Filed under: uncultured bacterium
Lineage: Bacteria
Description: partial 16S ribosomal RNA
Rfam family: Bacterial small subunit ribosomal RNA
Source: RNAcentral
GAUGAACGCUGGCGGCGUGCCUAAUACAUGCAAGUCGAGCGAACAGACGAGGAGCUUGCUCCUCUGACGUUAGCGGCGGGCGGGUGAGUAACACGUGGAUCACCUACUUAUAAGACUGGGAUAACUUCGGGAAACCGGAGCUAAUACCAGAGAAUAUAUUGAACCGCAUGGUUCAAUAGUGAAUGACGGUUUUGGUGUCACUAAUAGAUGGAUCCGGGCGGCAUUGGCUAGUUGGUAAGGUAACGGCUUACCAAGGGGACGAUGCGUAGCCGACCUGAGAGAGUGAUAGGCCACAUGGGAACUGGAACCGGGUCCAGACUCCUACGGGAGGCAGCAUGAGGGAAUCUUGCGCAAUGGGCGAAAGCUUGACGGAGCAACGCGGCGUGGGUGAUGAAGGUCUUGGGUUCGUAAAACCCUGUUAUGAGGGAAGAACAAAUGUGUAAGUAACUAUGCACUUCUUGACGGUACCUAAUCAGAAAGCCACGGCUAACUACGUG